Molecule: ribosomal RNA, 492 nt
Filed under: uncultured bacterium
Lineage: Bacteria
Description: partial 16S ribosomal RNA
Rfam family: Bacterial small subunit ribosomal RNA
Source: RNAcentral
AUUGAACGCUGGCGGCAUGCUUUACACAUGCAAGUCGAACGGUAACAGGCCUUCGGGUGCUGACGAGUGGCGAACGGGUGAGUAAUGCAUCGGAACGUGCCCAGCGGUGGGGGAUAACGCAGCGAAAGCUGUGCUAAUACCGCAUGUGAUCUGAGGAUGAAAGCGGGGGACCAGGCAGCAAUGUUUGGCCUCGCGCCUUUGGAGCGGCCGAUGUCCGAUUAGGUAGUUGGUGGGGUAAAGGCCUACCCAGCCGACGAUCUGUAGCUGGUCUGAGAGGACGACCGGCCACACUGGGACUGAGACACGGCCCAGACUCCUACGGGAGGCAGCAGUGGGGAAUUUUGGACAAUGGGCGCAAGCCUGAUCCAGCAAUGCCGCGUGCGGGAAGAAGGCCUUCGGGUUGUAAACCGCUUUUGUACGGAACGAAAAGGCUCUGGCUAAUACCUGGGGCUGAUGACGGUACCGGAAGAAUAAGCACCGGCUAACUACGUG